Molecule: unclassified non-coding RNA, 279 nt
Filed under: Mortierella sp.
Lineage: Eukaryota; Fungi; Mortierellomycota; Mortierellomycetes; Mortierellales; Mortierellaceae
Description: partial contains 5.8S ribosomal RNA, internal transcribed spacer 2, and large subunit ribosomal RNA
Rfam family: 5.8S ribosomal RNA (bases 1-71)
Source: RNAcentral
GUGAGUCAUCGAAUCUUUGAACGCACAUUGCGCCCUGUGGUAUUCCGCAGGGCAUGCCUGUUCGAGCGUCAGUACAACACUCAAGCUCAGCUUGGUCUUGAGCCCAGCCGGUCACGGCGGGCUUUAAAACUAGUGGCGGCGCCCCCUGGCUCUUAGCGUAGUAAUACCCCUCGCUACUGGGCCCAGGCGGACGCUGGCCAGCAACCCCCAACUCUCUAAGUUUGACCUCGGAUUAGGUAGGGAUACCCGCUGAACUUAAGCAUAUCAAUAAGCGGAGGA